GACGAACGCUGGCGGCGUGCUUAACACAUGCAAGUCGAACGGUAAGGCCCUUCGGGGUACACGAGUGGCGAACGGGUGAGUAACACGUGGGUGAUCUGCCCUGCACUUCGGGAUAAGCCUGGGAAACUGGGUCUAAUACCGGAUAGGACCACUGCCUGCAUGGGUGGUGGUGGAAAGCUUUUGCGGUGUGGGAUGGGCCCGCGGCCUAUCAGCUUGUUGGUGGGGUGAUGGCCUACCAAGGCGACGACGGGUAGCCGGCCUGGGAGGGUGACCGGCCACACGGGGACUGAGAGAGGGACCAGACUCCUACGGGGGGCAGCAGUGGGGAAUAUUGCACAAUGGGCGCAAGCCUGAAGCAGCGACGCCGCGUGAGGGAUGACGGCCUUCGGGUUGUAGACCUCUUUCAGCACCGACGAAGCGCAAGUGACGGUAGGUGCAGAAGAAGGACCGGCCAACUACGUGCCAGCAGCCGCCGUAA
RNAcentral lists this ribosomal RNA (478 nucleotides) under uncultured bacterium. RNAcentral's name for it is "partial 16S ribosomal RNA". It matches the Rfam family "Bacterial small subunit ribosomal RNA", at positions 28 to 523 of the family's 1533-position model. The record is from RNAcentral.